RNAcentral lists this long non-coding RNA (4108 nucleotides) under Panax ginseng (ginseng). RNAcentral describes it as "long non-coding RNA (PGIN_LNC017085)". Lineage: Eukaryota; Viridiplantae; Streptophyta; Magnoliopsida; Apiales; Araliaceae. The record is from RNAcentral.
GUUCGGAGAAGAUAUCACUGUCCUUCUGCUAUCUAUCAGCAUAACUAUACAUUGGAGAGAAAUCAGUUGAAUUAAGUAUUCAACCUACACAAAUGUUUGAUGAAGAACAGGUUCCAACCCUACUUGACUCUAAACUAGGCUCAUUAGUCCACCACAUCUUCUGUGUUAUCAAGUGACUUGAACAUUUCCUUAAUUUGUUUGCUUCAUCUUUGUUUCAUAGGAUUAUAUUUUAUUGGUUGUAUCUCCAUAUAUGUAGUAAGAUUUGUUGAUUAUCUCAGUCAUUGGUCCACAUGGUCUGAACUAAUUAUCUGUUGGUUAAUUAAAUGCAGGAACUCGUUUGCAUCCGAAGUCUUGUAUAUGCAAUUCAUAUUUUGGUUCACAUACUCCGAAGCGUUGUAUAUGCAAUUCAUAUUUUGGUUCACAUACUCCGUUUCUUUUUCACUCAGUUACUUGGGCUCUUGCAGUGACAAUGACUGCGAUUCUUCUGUCAGCGUACUUGAUAAACUUUUGAACAACUAGUUGCCAUGGUCAGAUUAGCAAAUGGAUAAAUUUAAUAGGCUUUCAGAAACAUAUAUACCCAGCUCCUUUGCAGACUUGGAUAAAUCUAUGACAAUGUGUGGGUGUUGUCUCAAUUACCUGAGACGGAUUUUGAUAUCUUCUGUUUUGUGUAAAAAUAGGUAACUAUUGCGUACCUCUGCUGAGAUGUCAAAACACGAUCUUGAACAUCUAUUCAUCUUCUCGUCCGGAUGCAUUUUCAUCCGAAAUUUUUAUUGGGAUCAUCAUCUCACAAAACUUUGGAUGUUCUUCUGGCAAAACAUUAUUUGUACCUUGGAUUUGAUCAUCCUUUCAGUCAGUAGAGUAAGUCCUUUGCAACAGCUUCUGGUUUUUGCUGAUUGCGUGCUUGGGUCCAAGUUUUUUUUUUUUUUUUCAUUUCAUUUCCUAAUUGGGGAGGGAGUUCACUCAAUAUUGUAAUUCAAGGAAAAUAAGCUUGUAUGAUUGAUGAAUCUAGGUUUCAUGUCUUGAUAUAUAUAAACUUGGCUGUUCAUCAAAGAGCCCUAACAAAUUGAGAUCUCUUGACCUUGCUAUUAGCUGAAGGCAUUGAUAUAAGUUGGGGUAUUGUGUAUCAUUAUCUGUAUGUAUAUAUAUAUAUAGGGGUCAGGUUACAUAAUUCUCUUAUCAUCUGCUUGGUUCAGUUAUACUGAAAACUGCAUGAACAUUAUCCAAGCUGAUAUCUUCAUGACAUUCAAUUCCCACACACAAGCUCAGAAAAUGUUUGAAACCAAUUAUUCUCAACAAUCUCUUAUAUUGAGAGUUUUAGUAAUUUUACGUCAAAAAUUUUUGUUGGUCGAGAUCAAAUGUUACCCUUGUGGGGAUUAGUAUCAAAUAUUCCGGAGAUGAGCUUCUUUUUGUACUCUGUAUAUGAAAAAUCUUGGAUAUAUGUAUCUUCCUCAACUUGGAAAUUUAAAACUUGACGGCUUGACAAGCUUGACGGCUUCGACCGUCGGGAGAUAGCUCAGGCGUAAGAGUCAGUACAGGCGAUUACAAGGUUAACAAUGGAGGAUAAAAUAUCUAGUGUAUUGAGAGAGAAAAAAAUAUCAGUUACCUUUACUUGGACGACCUCCUUGCUAUGUUAUACUCUCUAGCCCGGUUUACCGUGCCACCCACUACCGUCAGACACUGCUCCCCACUACUCAGUGAUCGCAGCCAACAACAUGCCGACUGUCACCUUUUUCAUACUGUUUCUACCGCCGGCCGACUAUAAUCUCAUCCACAUUAAUGAUCUGCAGGCCACUCGGUCAACAGCCUUCCUUUUUCAUCAUUACAAGUCAAAGAUGGAGAUAUUAAAAUAUCUAGUGGGUUAGCCCACUCAAGUUGGCCCAAGUCUUUCAAGAUAUGUUCAUGAGGAUUAACUAAACUGGCCCAACUGACCAAGCCCAAUAGAGAUGACCCAAGAGAUUUAAUCAAAUGAACAGGCCCAAUCUACUCGGCCCAAUAUGUGAAAUAUCAUGACCUAACAUUGCCCCCUAGUUUUUUAUUCAACAAACUAUUUAAUAGAAAACUAUAAAUUACCCAUGAUAUGAAGAAUUUAAUAAAAUCAAAAGAUGCCCAAAUUAAACUUUAUCAAGGCCCAAACGGUAAGGAAGUAGAAUGAUAGGAUAAAUUGAAACCGGAAACCCAACUGAAAGGCCCAAAAGUUUAAAAAUGAAGGAUUGAACCAAACGAUACCCUUUCAAAUUCAUGAUUAUGACUGUCAAUUAAAUGUGCCGCCCUCGUGUACCGUGUAACCGUCAGUAUAAAAAGUAAACUUCACCAAACUUGACAGUUUUACCUGCCAAUUUGAAAUUUAGACGCUUGAGCUCUCUUAUUCUCUCUCGAACGUUUCUUCCCUUCUCUGCAAAAUUUCAACAAUGGUGGUCCUUAAUACGAAUCAGAUCUCCCCAAUUCGGGCAACCCCUCAUACUGUCGUUCCACCUAACCCAGGUCCCAACGAAGAAGCUUCGAGUUCUAACCCUCAAGCUGCGAAAUCAAGCACGAAUCCACCUCCAAACCUACUCCCUAUGAAUUCUUCAGAAGUAAGGAGCGUUUUUCACACGCCAAUACCCCUUCUGAAAUAACAGAGAUUGGUUUAAAGAAAAUCCGUACUCGAUAUCAAAUCUCUGAUACCAUCAGGUGAGAGCUCCACGGUCUGAAGAGCGAAUGUAUCAACGACCGGAAGGUUGGACGGCCGUUCCAGUGACCCUUCUGGAGAAAGGGGUUCGAUUCCCUUUGCACAUUUUCUUGAUUACCUUUCUAGGGUUUAUCGGCGUUGGAUUUGCCCAGUUGGUGCCGAACUCCUACAUUCAUAUCAUCGCCUUCAUCGCUUUUUGCCACGAAGUAGGAGUAGAGCCCACUCUUGACUUCUUCUUCACUAUUUACAAGAUUGGCCAAACCCGGGAAAAAGGGUUUAAGGCUUUGAGCAAAUUACCAUCGAAGUCAGGUGAGAAGUUCGAAAGACGCUCUCUAAUCAAUACUCCUUCCAGCAAUAGAGGAUGGCAUAAAGGGUGUUCUUCAUCAAAGGACCAGAAAUUGCUUCCUUACCGGGUUGGGUCACUGAAGAUGUAGUUUCUGCUGACUUCGGUGACAUCCCGGAAGAACGCGCAAGUGAAAUGAUAGAGCUGUUUAAAAACUUCCCAUCGAAAGAAUGGAAUUACUUGCUUCUUACUAAGCAAGCCUAGUUAUAUGAGCACAAAUGUAAGUUUUGAAUUAUUUGAUUGCACAAUUGUCUGAAAUUUUUAUUGAUAUAGAUUUUGACAUGUGACUUUCUGUUUUUCGUAGUAUCUUUGAUUAAACCGUCUUCUAUAGACGUGAGAUUAGCAAAUGGAUAAAUUUAAUAGGCUUUCAGAAACAUAUAUACCCAGCUCCUUUGCAGACUUGGAUAAAUCUAUGACAAUGUGUGGGUGUUGACUCAAUUACCUGAGAUGGAUUUUGAUAUCUUCUGUUUUGUGUAAAAAUAGGUAACUAUUGCGUACCUCUGCUGAGAUGUCAAAACACGAUCUUGAACAUCUAUUCAUCUUCUCGUCCGGAUGCAUUUUCAUCCGAAAUUUUUAUUGGGAUCAUCAUCUCACAAAACUUUGGAUGUUCUUCUGGCGAAACAUUAUUUGUACCUUGGAUUUGAUCAUCCUUUCAGUCAGUAGAGUAAGUCCUUUGCAACAGCUUCUGGUUUUUGCUGAUUGCGUGCUUGGGUCCAAGUUUUUUUUUUUUUUUUCAUUUCAUUUCCUAAUUGGGGAGGGAGUUCACUCAAUAUUGUAAUUCAAGGAAAAUAAGCUUGUAUGAUUGAUGAAUCUAGGUUUCAUGUCUUGAUAUAUAUAAACUUGGCUGUUCAUCAAAGAGCCCUAACAAAUUGAGAUCUCUUGACCUUGCUAUUAGCUGAAGGCAUUGAUAUAAGUUGGGGUAUUGUGUAUCAUUAUCUGUAUGUAUAUAUAUAUAUAGGGGUCAGGUUACAUAAUUCUCUUAUCAUCUGCUUGGUUCAGUUAUACUGAAAACUGCAUGAACAUUAUCCAAGCUGAUAUCUUCAUGACAUUCAAUUCCCACACACAAGCUCAGAAAAUGUUUGAAACCAAUUAUUCUC